AAGGCAGGUGCUCAAGCAGAAGUCUGGAUAGCUAUGCUGGAUGCUGUAAGGCGGGUGCUCAAGCAGAAGUCUGGAUAGCCAUUCUGGAUGCUGUAAGGCGGGUGCUCAAGCAGAAGUCUGCAUAGCUAUUCUGGAUGCUGUAAGGCAGGUGCUCAAGCAGAAGUCUGGAUAGCUAUUCUGGAUGCUGUAAGGCAGAUGUUCAAGCAGAAGUCUGGAUAGCCAUUCUGGAUGCUGUAAGGCGGGUGCUCAAGCAGAAGUCUGGAUAGCUAUUCUGGAUGCUGUAAGGCAAGUGCUCAAGCAGAAGUCUGGAUAGCUGUGCUGGAUGCUGUAAGGCAGGUGCUCAAGCAGAAGUCUGGAUAGCUAUGCUGGAUGCUGUAAGGCAGCUGUUCAAGCAGAAUUCCGGAUAGCUAUUCUGGAUGCUGUCAGGCAGGUGCUCAAGCAGAAGUCUGGAUAGCCAUUCUGGAUGCUGUAAGGCAGGUGCUCAAGCAGAAGUCUGGACCAGCUAUGCUGGAUGCUGU
This 518-nucleotide long non-coding RNA is filed under the name Homo sapiens (human). Its description in RNAcentral is "HSALNT0055221". Lineage: Eukaryota; Metazoa; Chordata; Mammalia; Primates; Hominidae. The record is from RNAcentral.